UAGAUUGAAGCCAGUGUAGGGUAUUUAGCUGUUAACUAAAAUUUCGUAGGUUUAAGUCCUAUCAAUCUAG
RNAcentral lists this transfer RNA (70 nucleotides) under Pseudomys chapmani (western pebble-mound mouse). Its description in RNAcentral is "tRNA-Asn". It matches the Rfam family "tRNA". From Rfam's summary of the family: Transfer RNA (tRNA) molecules are approximately 80 nucleotides in length. The record is from RNAcentral. Lineage: Eukaryota; Metazoa; Chordata; Mammalia; Rodentia; Muridae.